UUUUUGAGACACAGUUUCACUUUGUCACCCAGGCUGGAGUGCAGUGAUGCGAUCUCGGCUCACCGCAACCUCAGCCUCCCGGGUUCAAGUGAUUCUCCUGCCUCAGCCUUCCGAGUAGCUGGGACUACAGGCACGUGCCACCACGCCUGGCUAAUUUUUUGUAUUUUUAGCAGAGACGGUGUUUCACCAUGUUAGCCAGGAUGGUCUUGAUCUCCUGACCUCAUGAUACACCCACCUCGCCCUCCCAAAUUGCUGGGAUUACCAGCAUUAGCCACUGCACCCAGCCCCUAGUUUUAUUAUCUCCAGAGAGUAAAACUUAAGUCUUCUACCGGAGUGAGGAGGGAAUCUCAGGUUGUGGUAGUGGUGAUAUAAUUGAACAGUCCUUCAACCAGAUGUAUCUAGGUUGCCAAUUACUGAGCCCUCUGGGGGUUCUGCUGUGCAAAUCAUAUGAUUUCUUGGCUUUCUCUCCUGCCAAUUUAGGAUUGGCUUUCUUGAGUCUGCUUUAGUCAUUACCAGUUGCAUAAGUGCUUUCCAGCUUCCAGUAUUUGUUUUCUCAUCUCCCAUUCUCUUGGCCUGACUGGUUUAUGUCUCUUUGAAAUUCUUUUGCUAAAGGGGGGUCAGAGGCAUGAAUUUAUGUCUUGUUUCAUCAAAUAUAUCUUGUCCACCAGUACUUUUCUUUCACCAUUUUAGUGCACUGCGUUACGUUUUAAUUAUUUGCCUCCUUCACCAGAGUUUUUCAGAAUGAAAGACCAUAUCCUAUUCCUCUCUAAAUCCCCUGGACCAAGGCCUGGCACAGCACUGAUACUCAAGGGAUGGAAUGAGUGGAUGGACCAACAAAUGAGUAACAGACAAAUCUGCAUCUAUUAAUCCUUUUCCCAGUGCUAUACAUAUGAACAUUAUUUGCCCGAAUGAAAGACAGUCCUUAUUUAUAGAGUUUAUUCAUGCUUACUAAUCCCAGCAGGAACUUUCCCUGACAUAUUUUCUGAUAAAAUAUUGCUUCUGGAAUUUUUACAGGUAAAACAUCUAUAGGAACUCAGAGGGCUAGUCUGAGUGAUCCAUGCACUGAUAUUUAUAAUAGCUUUUUGAGUACUUUCUAAACAGGGAGUGCACAAAUGUACACUGUACACAGAAGGACAAUGAAGACGUUCCCCCCUUAUCGGGGAGCAAUCAAAUAUGACUGUUGCCCCUGAAAGGAGAUGAAGCAAGAGAAACCUAAAGAGAUGGGGUGGGAAUUAACUAUUCUGUUCCAGCAUGAAUGCAAGUGGAGUGUUACCAUAUUUUAUUCCUUAAACCAAGAAAGGAAACAGAAGAGGAAGAAAAAGCAAUUAAUAAACAUUAGGAAAAUGCAAACCAAAUCUGCAAUGCCAUACUACUUUACACCUACCAGAAUAUCUCCACGCAACAAGACAUGUAACAAGUGCUGCUGAAGAUGUGGAAAAAUAGGAACCCUCAUAGACGGCUCACGGGAAUGGGGCAGCCACUUUGGAAAACAUCCUGGCAGUUCCUCAAAGGUUAAACAGAGACUUAUCAUGUGAUAGCAAUUCCACUCCUAGCUAUGUCCAUACAAAAACAUGUAUAAGACUGUUCAUAACAACAUAAUUCUUAAUAGCUAGGUGCAGUGGCUCACACCUGUAAUCCUAGCACUUUAAGUGGCUGAGGUGAGAGGAUUACUUGAGGCUAGGAGUUUGAAACCAGCCUGAGCAACACAGUAAGACCCCAUCUCUACAAAAAAUUAAAAAAUUAGCCAGGCUGGUGGUAUGCAUCUGUAGUCCUAGCUACUUGGGAGGCUGAGGUGGGAGGAUCGCUUGAGCCCAGGGUUCAAGGCUGCAGUGAGCCAUGAUCAUACCACUGUAAUCCAGCCUGGAUGACAGAAAUCCUGUGUGUCUUAAAAAAAAAAAAAAAAAAAAGGCAAUAUAAUUCAUAAUAAAGAGUGGAACAGUUCAAAUGUCCAUUACCUGAUGAGUGGAUAAACAAAAUAUAGUAUAUCCAUAUAAUGGAACAUUAUUCAGCGGUAAGAAGAAAUGAAGAACUUAUAUGCUACAACAUGAAUGAACCUUAAAAACAUUAUUAGGAGGCUAAGGCGGGUGGAUCACCUGAGGUCAGGAGUUUGAGACCAGCCUGCCCAACAUGGUGAAACCCUGUCUCUACUAAAAAUCCAAAAAUUAUCUGGGCAUGGCGGAGGACUCCUGUAAUCCCAGCUACUCGGGAGGCUGAGGCAGGAGAAUCGCUUCAAUCCAGGAGGUGGAGGUUGCAGUGAGCCAAGAUUGCAGCACUGUUCUCCAGUCUUGGUGACAGAAGCGAGGCUCCGUCCCAAAAAAACAAAACAAAAACAUUAUUAUAAGUGACAGAAGCUAGAUGCAAAACACCAUAUAUUGUAUGACCCCAUUUAUAUGUCUUGAAUUACUGCAGAGCAAAAACAUUCAGGGAAUUCUCCUCUCUGGAGGUUAAUGCCAUUUCCUUUGCCUAGGCUUGAAUUUUUUUUCUUCUUCAAAUUUUAUUUUUAGGGAGAGCAUUAACAUUUUAUGUUAUUUUUUUCUUUUUAUUUUUUAGGACCCUGGUUUGAUAUGUACCUAUCUGCUCGAGACUCCGUUGUUCUGAACUUUAAUCCAUUUAUGGCUUUCAAUCCUGACUCAAAAUCUGAGUAUAAUGACCAGCUCACCCGGGCAACCAACAUGACUGUUUCUGCCAUCCGGUUUCUGAAGACACUCCGGGCUGGCCUUCUGGAGCCAGAAGUGUUCCACUUGAACCCUGCAAAAAGUGACACUGACACCUUCAAGAGACUCAUACGCUUUGUGCCUUCCUCUCUGUCCUGGUAUGGGGCCUACCUGGUCAAUGCAUAUCCCCUGGAUAUGUCCCAGUAUUUUCGGCUUUUCAACUCAACUCGUUUACCCAAACCCAGUCGGGAUGAACUCUUCACUGAUGACAAGGCCAGACACCUCCUGGUCCUAAGGAAAGGAAAUUUUUAUAUCUUUGAUGUCCUGGAUCAAGAUGGGAACAUUGUGAGCCCCUCGGAAAUCCAGGCGCAUCUGAAGUACAUUCUCUCAGACAGCAGCCCUGCCCCCGAGUUUCCUCUGACAUACCUGACCAGUGAGAACCGAGACAUCUGGGCAGAGCUCAGGCAGAAGCUGAUGAGUAGUGGCAAUGAGGAGAGCCUGAGGAAAGUGGACUCGGCAGUGUUCUGCCUCUGCCUAGAUGAAUUCCCCAUUAAGGACCUUGUCCACUUGUCCCACAAUAUGCUGCAUGGGGAUGGCACAAACCGCUGGUUUGAUAAAUCCUUUAACCUCAUUAUCGCCAAGGAUGGCUCUGCUGCCGUCCACUUUGAGCACUCUUGGGGUGAUGGUGUGGCAGUGCUCAGAUUUUUUAAUGAAGUAUUUAAAGACAGCACUCAGACCCCUGCCGUCACUCCACAGAGCCAGCCAGCUACCACUGACUCUACUGUCACUGUGCAGAAACUCAGCUUCAAGCUGACUGAUGCCUUAAAGACUGGCAUCACAGCUGCUAAGGAAAAGUUUGAUGCCACCAUGAAAACCCUCACUAUUGACUGCAUCCAGUUUCAGAGAGGAGGCAAAGAAUUCCUGAAGAAGCAAAAGCUGAGCCCUGACGCAGUUGCCCAGCUGGCAUUCCAGAUGGCCUUCCUGCGGCAGUACGGGCAGACAGUGGCCACCUACGAGUCCUGUAGCACUGCUGCAUUCAAGCACGGCCGCACUGAGACCAUCCGCCCGGCCUCCAUCUAUACAAAGAGGUGCUCUGAGGCCUUUGUCAGGGAGCCCUCCAGGCACAGUGCUGGUGAGCUUCAGCAGAUGAUGGUUGAGUGCUCCAAGUACCAUGGCCAGCUGACCAAAGAAGCAGCAAUGGGUGAGGCAGGGGUGGGGAGCAUGCCCUUGGGUCUUGUCUUCAGUGCUUGGCUAAGCAAGCCUAAAUCAUUCUACUCCAAAUCUGAUUUCUACCCCUUCACUAGGUUUAAUCCAUCGCCAACUCCCCAAAUUUUUCUUUUCUACCCUAGCAGUCUGAACAGCCACACUAGCCACUAGGGAUCAGAAUGUUCUUGCCUCCUAAGCAGGGGUGGGGAAAUGCAUGUGAC
RNAcentral lists this small RNA (4081 nucleotides) under Pongo abelii (Sumatran orangutan). Its description in RNAcentral is "retained intron". Lineage: Eukaryota; Metazoa; Chordata; Mammalia; Primates; Hominidae. The record is from RNAcentral.